GGGACAGUGGCUCAGUGGUAGAGUGCUUGCCUUGCAUGCAUGAGGCCCUGGGUUCGAUUCCUCAGCACCA
RNAcentral lists this transfer RNA (70 nucleotides) under Dipodomys ordii (Ord's kangaroo rat). It matches the Rfam family "tRNA". From Rfam's summary of the family: Transfer RNA (tRNA) molecules are approximately 80 nucleotides in length. Their secondary structure includes four short double-helical elements and three loops (D, anti-codon, and T loops). Further hydrogen bonds mediate the characteristic L-shaped molecular structure. tRNAs have two regions of fundamental functional importance: the anti-codon, which is responsible for specific mRNA codon recognition, and the 3' end, to which the tRNAs corresponding amino acid is attached (by aminoacyl-tRNA synthetases). tRNAs cope with the degeneracy of the genetic code in two manners: having more than one tRNA (with a specific anti-codon) for a particular amino acid; and 'wobble' base-pairing, i.e. permitting non-standard base-pairing at the 3rd anti-codon position. The record is from Rfam by way of RNAcentral. Lineage: Eukaryota; Metazoa; Chordata; Mammalia; Rodentia; Heteromyidae.